AACGAACGCUGGCGGCAUGCCUAACACAUGCAAGUCGAACGAGACCUCCGGGUCUAGUGGCGCACGGGUGCGUAACGCGUGGGAACCUGCACUUAGGUUCGGAAUAACUCCCCGACAGGGGUGCUAAUACCGGAUAAUGUCUUCGGACCAAAGAUUUAUCGCCUUUGGAUGGGCCCGCGUUGGAUUAGCUAGUUGGUAGGGUAAAAGCUUACCAAGGCGACGAUUCAUAGCUGGUCUGAGAGGAUGAUCAGCAACACUGGGACUGAGACGCGGCCCAGACUCCUACGGGAGGCAGCAGUGGGGGAUAGUGGACAGUGGGCGAAAGCCUGAUCCAGCAAUGCCGCGUGAGUGAUGAAGGCCUUAGGGUUGUAAAGCGCUUUUACCCGGGAUGAUAAUGACAGUACCGGAUGAAUAAGCUCCGGCUAACUCCGUG
RNAcentral lists this ribosomal RNA (433 nucleotides) under uncultured bacterium. RNAcentral describes it as "partial 16S ribosomal RNA". It matches the Rfam family "Bacterial small subunit ribosomal RNA", at positions 29 to 507 of the family's 1533-position model. The record is from RNAcentral.